Molecule: ribosomal RNA, 254 nt
Filed under: uncultured bacterium
Lineage: Bacteria
Description: partial 16S ribosomal RNA
Rfam family: Bacterial small subunit ribosomal RNA
Source: RNAcentral
UACGGAGGAUCCAAGCGUUAUCCGGAAUCAUUGGGUUUAAAGGGUCCGUAGGCGGUUUAGUAAGUCAGUGGUGAAAGCCCAUCGCUCAACGGUGGAACGGCCAUUGAUACUGCUAGACUUGAAUUAUUAGGAAGUAACUAGAAAUAUGUAGUGUAGCGGUGAAAUGCUUAGAGAUUACAUGGAAUACCAAUUGCGAAGGCAGGUUACUACUAAUGGAUUGACGCUGAUGGACGAAAGCGUGGGUAGCGAACAGG